GCCGGGAUGGCGGAAUCGGUAGACGCAUUCGACUUAAAAUCGAACGCCCGUGAGGGCAUACGGGUUCAAGUCCCGUUCUCGGCACCA
This 87-nucleotide transfer RNA is filed under the name Deinococcus sp. RL. RNAcentral describes it as "tRNA-Leu". It matches the Rfam family "tRNA". Rfam says of the family: Transfer RNA (tRNA) molecules are approximately 80 nucleotides in length. Their secondary structure includes four short double-helical elements and three loops (D, anti-codon, and T loops). The record is from RNAcentral. Lineage: Bacteria; Thermotogati; Deinococcota; Deinococci; Deinococcales; Deinococcaceae.